UACGUAGGUGGCAAGCGUUGUCCGGAUUUAUUGUGCGUAAAGCGCGCGCAGGCGGUCCUUUAAGUCUGAUGUGAAAUCUUGCGGCUCAACCGCAAGCGGUCAUUGGAAACUGGGGGACUUGAGUACAGAAGAGGAAAGCGGAAUUCCACGUGUAGCGGUGAAAUGCGUAGAGAUGUGGAGGAACACCAGUGGCGAAGGCGGCUUUCUGGUCUGUAACUGACGCUGAGGCGCGAAAGCGUGGGGAGCAAACAGG
RNAcentral lists this ribosomal RNA (253 nucleotides) under uncultured bacterium. RNAcentral describes it as "partial 16S ribosomal RNA". It matches the Rfam family "Bacterial small subunit ribosomal RNA", at positions 524 to 776 of the family's 1533-position model. The record is from RNAcentral.